RNAcentral lists this ribosomal RNA (388 nucleotides) under Crustomastigaceae sp. Its description in RNAcentral is "partial small subunit ribosomal RNA". It matches the Rfam family "Eukaryotic small subunit ribosomal RNA", at positions 582 to 975 of the family's 1831-position model. The record is from RNAcentral. Lineage: Eukaryota; Viridiplantae; Chlorophyta; Mamiellophyceae; Dolichomastigales; Crustomastigaceae.
AUUCCAGCUCCAAUAGCGUAUAUUUAAGUUGUUGCAGUUAAAAAGCUCGUAGUUGGAUUUCGGGUGUCAUCUGCCGGUCCGCCGUUUCGGUGUGCACUGGCGGGCGUCAUCUUUCUGUCGAGGACGCGCUCCUGUCCUUUAUUGGUCGGGACGCGGAGUCGGCGAGGUUACUUUGAAAAAAUUAGAGUGUUCAAAGCGGGCUUACGCUUGAAUAUAUUAGCAUGGAAUAACACUAUAGGACUCCUGUCCUAUUUUGUUGGUCUUCGGGACGGGAGUAAUGAUUAAGAGGAACAGUUGGGGGCAUUCGUAUUUCAUUGUCAGAGGUGAAAUUCUUGGAUUUAUGAAAGACGAACUUCUGCGAAAGCAUUUGCCAAGGAUGUUUUCAUUA